This 236-nucleotide ribosomal RNA is filed under the name uncultured bacterium. RNAcentral's name for it is "partial 16S ribosomal RNA". It matches the Rfam family "Bacterial small subunit ribosomal RNA", at positions 976 to 1216 of the family's 1533-position model. The record is from RNAcentral.
UACCCUUGACAUGCCUGGAACCCUGCAGAGAUGUGGGGGUGCUCGAAAGAGAGCCAGGACACAGGUGCUGCAUGGCCGUCGUCAGCUCGUGUCGUGAGAUGUUGGGUUAAGUCCCGCAACGAGCGCAACCCUUGCCAUUAGUUGCUACGAAAGGGCACUCUAAUGGGACUGCCGGUGACAAACCGGAGGAAGGUGGGGAUGACGUCAGGUCCUCAUGGCCCUUAUGGGUAGGGCUA